GAUGAACGCUGGCGGCGUGCCUAAUACAUGCAAGUCGAGCGAACGGACGAGAAGCUUGCUCCUCUGAUGUUAGCGGCUGACGGGUGAGUAACACGUGGAUAACCUACCUAUAAGACUGGGAUAACUUCGGGAAACCGGAGCUAAUACCGGAUAAAAUUUUGAACCGCAUGGUUCAACAGUGAAAGACGGUCUUGCUGUCACUUAUAGAUGGAUCCGCGCCGCAUUAGCUAGUUGGUAAGGUAACGGCUUACCAAGGCAACGAUGCGUAGCCGACCUGAGAGGGUGAUCAGCCACACUGGAACUGAGACACGGUCCAGACUCCUACGGGAGGCAGCAGUAGGGAAUCUUCCGCAAUGGGCGCAAGCCUGACGGAGCAACGCCGCGUGAGUGAUGAAGGUCUUCGGAUCGUAAAACUCUGUUAUUAGGGAAGAACAUAUGUGUAAGUAACUGUGCACAUCUUGACGGUACCUAAUGAGAAAGCCACGGCUAACUACGUG
Molecule: ribosomal RNA, 497 nt
Filed under: uncultured bacterium
Lineage: Bacteria
Description: partial 16S ribosomal RNA
Rfam family: Bacterial small subunit ribosomal RNA
Source: RNAcentral